This 95-nucleotide small nucleolar RNA is filed under the name Saimiri boliviensis boliviensis (Bolivian squirrel monkey). RNAcentral's name for it is "Small nucleolar RNA SNORD113/SNORD114 family (ENSSBOG00000017943.1)". The stretch from base 1 to 67 matches the Rfam family "Small nucleolar RNA SNORD113/SNORD114 family". From Rfam's summary of the family: The imprinted human domain at 14q32 contains two clusters of tandemly repeated small nucleolar RNAs named 14q(I) and 14q(II) snoRNAs. These two clusters are named SNORD113 and SNORD114 respectively in the HGNC approved gene symbol nomenclature. The snoRNAs found in both clusters are clearly related and are represented here by a single family. The record is from RNAcentral. Lineage: Eukaryota; Metazoa; Chordata; Mammalia; Primates; Cebidae.
UGGAUCAGUGGUGACCACUGGUGGCAUAUAAGUCAUGGACCAUAAAUAUGAGAAGAAAAGAAUCUAGGUUUUUGCUUUUAUUGAAAAUGAUCCUG